UCCCCGUUACCGGGGCAGUCUGACUAGAAAAAUUCAACUAAUCAUAAGGGUUGCGCUCGUUAAUGGACUUAACCAAACAUCUCACGACACGAGCUGACGACGGCCAUGCAACACCUGUCACUGAGUUCCGGGUUACAAUACACAAUUUAACUUAUGUACUCUAACCCGGCACUCACUCCUUUCGGAGUAAUUCUCAGGAUGUCAAGCCUUGGUAAGGUUCUUCGCUUAUCAUCGAAUUAAGCAACACGCUCCACCGCUUGUGCGGGUCCCCGUCAAUUCCUUUGAGUUUUAGCCUUGCGGCCGUACUCCUCAGGCGGGAUGCUUAACGCGUUAGCUUCGCUACACACCGGGUCGAUACGGCAUACAGCUAGCAUCCAUAGUUUACGGCGUGGACUAC
RNAcentral lists this unclassified non-coding RNA (397 nucleotides) under uncultured bacterium. RNAcentral describes it as "contains 16S-23S intergenic spacer region". The record is from RNAcentral.